AGCCCCCUCCUGUGAGCUCUGGGAGCUACAGAAUAAGGACACUCCUUGGCCCCAAGCCAGCCCCAGCUUGCUCGGGAGCCUGGGUUUCCCCCUCCGUCCCCAUCACCGCGAGGGUCUGUGCAUGGGAAUCUGCUCCAGAGGCUCCCUCAGGCGCCGCGCCGCGGGGAUACGCCUUUCACCGCCCCAGCAAUUGGAGCGCUGAGUCGAAGUCCUGAUUCCACGAUAGGCGGAUGAAGCCCUAACGCUGAAAUUCUUUCCUCUAGGUCUUUGGCAGCGGCUGGGGCCAAAGCCCGGGCAAGACCAACGCCUUCGGCACCCGGACUCAGGCUCCGUCCUCUCUGCCAGCGUGCGGCUACAAUGACUCGACAUGGCAGGCCACUGCCUUCAGAGAAGGUGACAGAGGGCCAUGUCUGAAACAUUCUCCCACAACCAGGAACCCUCAGCAGCCGCUGAAGAGGAAAGGCAGUUAAAUGGAAAGACUUCUGAGCAAGUGGAGGAAAAGUCACGUGUGACCUAGGGAGGGGCUCCCACAGGAAGGGGCAAUGCCCUUGCCCUGUUCACCUAGCCUCCAGGUGGCUUCCCACUUGAAAUUUCAGAGGAUGGCAGAAACCUACUUACAAGGAAAUGAAAGAGGGCACAGCAACCUUAAGACCAGAGCAGCCCACGAUAUUUUUUAAUGAGGGCAAAAAUAGAAGACUUGCAAAAGACCCCUGAAAAUAAUGCCUGGAAGCUGCGAAACAUCAGACUGACACCGCACAAAAGAGGUCCAGCUGAGCAGGAGAAAAGCUUGAGAAGCAUCCAGAACAAUGUAGGUGGAGAGGCUAAGAAGAAAGAGGAGCCCACAUGGAAUGAAUAACCAAGGUCGGGACAGAGGAAGGUUCGCCAGAACUGGGAGGGCUGAAAUUGGACAUUGAGAUAAAUUAAAGAGUGUUCUUUAAAACUGUCAAGACUUUGGCUGGUCAAUAAGUAAACUGCAAACGAGUGUUCCUAAACCACAGCAGCAAUGCUCCCUGGAGGAGGGAAGGAGGCCGGGGC
Molecule: long non-coding RNA, 1035 nt
Filed under: Homo sapiens (human)
Lineage: Eukaryota; Metazoa; Chordata; Mammalia; Primates; Hominidae
Description: HSALNT0314385
Source: RNAcentral